Long non-coding RNA from Lathyrus oleraceus (garden pea), 486 nucleotides. RefSeq lists it as uncharacterized. The transcript has 3 exons. Lineage: Eukaryota; Viridiplantae; Streptophyta; Magnoliopsida; Fabales; Fabaceae. The record is from RefSeq and is a predicted model, not a curated record.
AAACAUCAUAUCUCAGAUUUAUAAGAGAUGAUUGACUUGCUCAAAUCUGAGCUUGAGGAUAAGAAAAAUGAAAAGGUGGUUAAUGGUGGCAAAACUCUGUACUCGACACUGGACAACAACACUGUUUCUUCUUCCAAUGAUGACUUGGAAGACCUAAGUACUUUCCUUCCUUAGACAAAUGCCAGAAUGAAGGUGCGGGGUUCAUUUUGACAAAGACGACAGUGGUGACUUGAACUUGAAACAUCGAAACAAGCUACUUGACUUGGUAUAGUAAUAAACUGCAUUAGCUUGUAGAGGUUGAGCAUUAUGGUUCCCUGAGAAAAUGAACAAGAAUGUGAAGCUCAAGUUACUAUCAUUGCUUCCAAUGUCGGCAUCAUUUAUACCAUCAGAUUUAUAUCCAAACUCCUAAUUGUAGAAAUACCUCCAAGUGUUGUAACAUGUAAAAUGGUUUAUUCAGUUGAGUAGAUGAUUUACUCAGUUAGAUAU